This 86-nucleotide transfer RNA is filed under the name Schistocephalus solidus. It matches the Rfam family "tRNA". From Rfam's summary of the family: Transfer RNA (tRNA) molecules are approximately 80 nucleotides in length. Their secondary structure includes four short double-helical elements and three loops (D, anti-codon, and T loops). The record is from Rfam by way of RNAcentral. Lineage: Eukaryota; Metazoa; Platyhelminthes; Cestoda; Diphyllobothriidea; Diphyllobothriidae.
GGCCUCGUAGCUAUGUUGGCUCAGUUUGCGUUGGCUUUACUAAAUCCUUCCCCUUGCUGGCGUGGGUUCGAAUCCCACCGAGGCCG